CGAAAGUUGGUCCAUGGUGGAAUUCCUCAUGCUUAAAUUAGGUAUCUGUCGUAUCCUUUAAGUGAGAACUCCUGGUAUCAAGAAAUUAAUUUUUGCUUCAUUUAAAAAAAAAUUAUUUGAAUUUGGCUUGUUUUGUGGUGUUAAAAAAUGUGUUGAUAUGAUAUCAGCUUAUCUUGUUUCAACAUGAUAUGGAUUUACAUUUUUUUUUCUUUUGCCGAUUCCCCCCACCCCCAGAAAUUUGGGGAGGAUAGCAGAAUUUGUUCCAGAUGACAAGUCGGACAAAAGUUGAAGGCGUGGACAGAAGCUGUCACGAUAUAGUCCCCAUGCCAAUACGAAUUCAAAAGAUAAAUUCGUCAGAAUACUGGCUAAAAGGAUAUGCUCCCAUGGUGGAAUUUGAUAUGGUUCCAUUAGGUAUUUGCCAUACCCUAUAACUGAGAAGUUCUUUUUGACUAUUAUGCAAUUAAUUAUUUGCUGGUUGAAGAGAUAUGGUCUGUGGUACAUUUAAUACAUAUCAUGGUUUGGAAGCCCUUUCUAAUAUUAUAUUUAAACUAUUUGUGCCAUUUUUCAUAUUCUUCUAGUCAUAAUGGCUAAUAUAUAAAAAAUUGAAACAUUUUAUACAGGGCCUCUGACUUCCGAAGCUUAAAGUUUGAUCGGCAUGCCUUCUUUUGGAAAAAUAUUAAGUAAUCUUAAUAUUUUUGCCUCAACUAUUUUCAGUAGAUGAUAGCUGAGAUUGAUAUAAGUUCUAAAGAUAUAUAUUUCUAAAGCUGAACAUGCAUGGAGUUGAUCUGACCACAACCAUGUUCACCAUCAAAUAAGACUGAGACUCAGAUGUAUCAGGUAUUUUUAGUUUUCUAUACCCAUAGAGAUAACUUCUUAACUGCGGACGUAUUAGCCCAUAGCUCCCUAUGAAGAAUUUAAUCAUAAUCUUUGAAGUGAUAAUGGAUAGUAUUUUUUCCUUAUUUAUUUUUGUCAAGUGAUAUUGUUGUAUUCAUACUUCCAGUAAAAAAAUAAAAUUGGGGUUGUAUUCACGGUAUAAUAUAACAUAGCAUUACAAUUUGCAUAGCAGGACUUCCUCAGAGAGUUGUAUUUUGAAGUUCUUUUACGCUAUAGCCUGACAAGGAUUGAUCAAGCAACUAAGCACACUUUUGCCUUGUUCCGGAUAUUUUUUUUGUUUGCCUAAGAUUGCUAGCCUCCAUGAUAGCUUUGGUGGAAAUAUGUACUGAAGAUCUGUGUUAUCAAUCCUUGUUCUUUAUGGGACCACCACCAGAUUCAUCUAACAACUACCAUCCAGGCCCAUCUCAGAACCUACCAUCUCCUCUCCUCCUUCCGGAGAUGUUUAAACUUACUGGCCCGUAGGAUCUCCACCUUCCAACAGACAACUAUAAUAUUGGAACAGUAACAUUACCUUUUUCUCUUUCCUCUCCUUUGUUCUUAAUUUCCACUCCCCCACCUCAUCCCGCAAAGAUUGAAAAGAACUAACACUACACUAAUUUUAAAUGAAUUUGCAGGUUUCUUGUUUGUAACGAGACAAUUGGAGAGGGAGAGAAAUUCAAAUUCAUAUUCACAUGUCAAUUCAAGCUUUAUGAAUUUAGGUCAGAAGAUCAGCUCGUAGAUGUGUAUGCUCUUCAGGAUACAGUUUUGGUGGAUAUGUGUGCGUUUAGACUUUGAGUAGAUUGUUUAUAAGGUGAUGCCCAGAUCUGCAACCAUUGGUGUCAAUUGAUGGAUAAUGAUAACUCUGAUGGUUACUUUUGAGUUCUGUUAUAAUAUCAGCACGACGGGGUUUUGUUGUUGUACCAACUGCUAGUUAGAAUGGUGGCUAUGGUGGGUGAGCAUUUUAAGCACCAAACAUCUAAUAUGCUGAACUUUUCUUAUUAUAGUCGUAGGGAUGUAUAGUCGUUAGUUUUACCUAUGUCGGGAUCAUGGCAAAGCAGGAUCCAUUAAGCUAUCCAUGUUUUAGCUUUCGGUUUUAUGUACUUGUUAAUUAACUGAUGGAAGGAAGAAUGAAUAGAAUUUUAUUUGAUCACAUUCACUCCAG
This 2035-nucleotide long non-coding RNA is filed under the name Panax ginseng (ginseng). RNAcentral's name for it is "long non-coding RNA (PGIN_LNC015404)". Lineage: Eukaryota; Viridiplantae; Streptophyta; Magnoliopsida; Apiales; Araliaceae. The record is from RNAcentral.